Molecule: ribosomal RNA, 440 nt
Filed under: uncultured bacterium
Lineage: Bacteria
Description: partial 16S ribosomal RNA
Rfam family: Bacterial small subunit ribosomal RNA
Source: RNAcentral
CCUACGGGAGGCAGCAGUGGGGGAUAUUGCACAAUGGGGGGAACCCUGAUGCAGCGACGCCGCGUGGGUGAAGAAGCGCCUCGGCGCGUAAAGCCCUGUCAGCAGGGAAGAAAAUGACGGUACCCACAGAGGAAGCACCGGCUAACUCCGUGCCAGCAGCCGCGGUAAUACGGGGGGUGCAAGCGUUGUCCGGAAUCAUUGGGCGUAAAGAGUUCGUAGGCGGCACGUAAAGUCUGGUGUUAAAGGCAGAGGCUCAACUUCUGUACGGCACUGGAUACUUGCGAGCUAGAAUGCGGUAGAGGUAAAGGGAAUUCCUGGUGUAGCGGUGAAAUGCUUAGAUAUCAGGAGGAACAUCGGUGGCGUAAGCGCUUUACUGGGCCGUAAUUGACGCUGAGGAACGAAAGCCAGGGUAGCAAAUGGGAUUAGAUACCCGGGUAGUC